RNAcentral lists this ribosomal RNA (253 nucleotides) under uncultured bacterium. Its description in RNAcentral is "partial 16S ribosomal RNA". It matches the Rfam family "Bacterial small subunit ribosomal RNA", at positions 524 to 776 of the family's 1533-position model. The record is from RNAcentral.
UACGAAGGGUGCAAACGUUGCUCGGAAUUAUUGGGCGUAAAGAGCUCGUAGGCGGCUUGUCACGUCGGGUGUGAAAGCCCGGGGCUUAACCCCGGGUCUGCAUUCGAUACGGGCUAGCUAGAGUGUGGUAGGGGAGAUCGGAAUUCCUGGUGUAGCGGUGAAAUGCGCAGAUAUCAGGAGGAACACCGGUGGCGAAGGCGGGUCUCUGGGCCGAUACUGACGCUGAGGAGCGAAAGCGUGGGGAGCGAACAGG